This 493-nucleotide ribosomal RNA is filed under the name uncultured bacterium. RNAcentral's name for it is "bacterial SSU rRNA". It matches the Rfam family "Bacterial small subunit ribosomal RNA", at positions 1 to 491 of the family's 1533-position model. The record is from RNAcentral.
GAUUAGAGUUUGAUCCUGGCUCAGAUUGAACGCGGGCGGCAUCCUUUCCCCAUGCAAGUCGAACGGCAGCACGGGGGCAACCCUGGUGGCGAGUGGCGAACGGGUGAGUAAUGCAUCGGAACGUCCCAGUCGUGGGGGAUAACCGCAGCGAAAAGUUGUGUUAAUCCCGCAUACGACCUGAGGGUGAAAGCGGGGGACCGUAAGGCCUCGCGCGAUUGGAGCGGCCGAUGUCUGAUUAGCUAGUUGGUGGGGUAAAGGCCCACCAAGGCGACGAUCAGUAGCGGGUCUGAGAGGAUGAUCCGCCACACUGGGACUGAGACACGGCCCAGACUCCUACGGGAGGCAGCAGUGGGGAAUUUUGGACAAUGGGGGCAACCCUGAUCCAGCCAUGCCGCGUGCGGGAAGAAGGCCUUCGGGUUGUAAACCGCUUUCGGACGGAAAGAAAUCGCAUGGACUAAUACUCUGUGUGGAUGACGGUACCGUAAGAAGAAGC